Molecule: long non-coding RNA, 542 nt
Filed under: Olea europaea subsp. europaea
Lineage: Eukaryota; Viridiplantae; Streptophyta; Magnoliopsida; Lamiales; Oleaceae
Source: RNAcentral
GUUUCGCGCGGGUUAGUCGCUAACAAUUAAAAAGGAUCAGACGAUUGUGUAAGGGACAAACCUCUUGAGACAAAGUCCCAAAAAGGGGUGUACUUUUAUUGGCGAUGACUUUACAAUUGGAAAUUAAAAACAAUGUGCCUCCAAGGAGCGCAAGUACACGAGUUACUGAAAGAAAAGUGUUUAAGUUUAAGCUAAGGAAAUUAAAAUUACAUGUUCUCUAUUCGAGAGUUUUUUGAUUCGGUCCUUUGCUUCUAUAUCUUUUCUCCCUUUUAUACUUCAUGGACGAUCUCUUUGUGAUCAACCGUCCUAAAAACUGUUUGAUCGUCCUAUAACUGCCCACUUUCCUCGUAAUGGCCAACUUGUCAUGAAAAUUGCCUUUUUUAACUGCUGUCAUUACUCUUCAUCGUUGAACCGCUUUCGAUUGAAUUUCUUGAAUCAUGGAACGUGAUAGGGCUGCUUUAAUAACUGCUUUGAUAACUGCACUUCUUGAUAACCAUGACGCUUUAUGUUUGUUAAGACCUUGGGCGACUUGAAGGUUUGGG